GACGAACGCUGGCGGCGUGCUUAACACAUGCAAGUCGAACGGAAAGGCCCUGCUUUUGUGGGGUGCUCGAGUGGCGAACGGGUGAGUAACACGUGAGUAACCUGCCCUUGACUUUGGGAUAACUUAAGGAAACUGGGGCUAAUACCGGAUAGGAGCUCCUGCUGCAUGGUGGGGGUUGGAAAGUUUCGGCGGUUGGGGAUGGACUCGCGGCUUAUCAGCUUGUUGGUGGGGUAGUGGCUUACCAAGGCUUGGACGGGUAGCUGGCCUGAGAGGGUGACCGGCCACAUUGGGACUGAGAUACGGCCCAGACUCAUACGGGAGGCAGCAGUGGGGAAUAUUUCACAAUGGGCGGAAGCAUGACGCAGCAACGCCGCGUGCGGGAUGACGGCCUUCGGGUUGUAAACCGCUUUCGCUUGUGACGAAGCGUGAGUGACGGUAAUGGGUAAAGAAGCACCGCCUAACUACGU
Molecule: ribosomal RNA, 467 nt
Filed under: uncultured bacterium
Lineage: Bacteria
Description: partial 16S ribosomal RNA
Rfam family: Bacterial small subunit ribosomal RNA
Source: RNAcentral